RNA transcript from Etheostoma cragini (Arkansas darter), 3797 nucleotides. It is a transcript of the gene named pleckstrin homology-like domain, family B, member 2a, with no coding region annotated. The record is from RefSeq and is a predicted model, not a curated record. Lineage: Eukaryota; Metazoa; Chordata; Actinopteri; Perciformes; Percidae. The transcript has 18 exons.
UAAAAGUUGAGGUUGGAUGUGGGAUCCUGUCUGAUCCUUUGUCAUAUGAAGACUACUCUGCUGUUUCAUAAAGAGAGAGAGAGAGAGAAAGAGGGGGGGUGAGAGAGAGAGAGAGAGAGAGAGAGAGAGAGAGAGAGAGAGAGGGGUUGUGAAAGGAGUGCAGCUUCAGCAGCAACAGGCACGCUAAAGAAACUUGCAACUAUGUGAAUGGGACAAAAAGCAAAGGGAACAAAGCAUUUAGGGCCCAGCUGAAUCCUGCAUCCUCAGACUGAAUCAGAGAAAGGAGGUCAGUGUGAUGAACAGCAUGCUUCCCCAGAGGAGUGCUGUCGCCACACUGGGCUACAGCUCAGACUGUGUGAAGAUGGAGCACAGUGGCAGUGGCUCAGUGGGUGGGACAUUGCUGAGGGGGUCUCGCUCUAAAGCAGAGCUACAAGACCUGAUGGAGACGCUGCAGCGCAGGAAGAGUGCUCUGGAGGCCAGCUUGAGGGCAGCUGAGUGCAGCCGCAAGUACCUCAGUGUGCCCUCUCCUGUUGGAUCCCAGUCCACAAGGCCACUGUCAAUCCUCAGCAAUACCGAACGGCCCCCGUCUGCCUCCACAACUUUUUCCUAUAUGACCAGCAGCAGCAGUGUGCCUCCAUCACCUCGACAAGGUGAACGUCAGCUGAGCCCUAAUGGCUUGCAUCGGUAUUCCCACUCUCGCCACCAGUCACAAGACAGUCUGCUCUUCUCUUACGCAGCAGAUGGAAACUCUCUGCUCUCCUCCUAUGGCCAGCCCCUACCUCGUUCCCCCAGGGUUAAAGGUGGAGCAGCCAGCGUGCCGUCCAGUCCUCGCAUGGCCCGCAGGCUCUACUCUCAUGGCAAAGUUGGCCAAGACUCACGGCAGAGGAAAUACUCCACUGGCUCCCUCCACAGCCUGGGGACGCAUAGCCGUUCUCUGCCACGGCUUCACAACGCAGCAGAGCCCCCUACACUGUCGCUACCAUCACGACACUCAGUGGGUUCCCACAGAGGAGUGGGCUCAGCAGGGCAGCGGCGCAGUCUCUCCUCCCUCGAGCAGCCACCAGAUGUGACUGUACCAGCCAGCAUGCCCAGCACUCCCAGGAGGGCCAGCCUGGCCUCCUUGAGCUCUCUGGGUGUAGAUAUAGACGGGACAGGCUUAGAUCUGGGCUUCGGAGAGAGGAGGUUAUCCUUUGGGAAGGGUGGGCUUGGUCCAGGACAAAGGGUGGGCAGCAUCAGCUCCUUGAAUGGCAAAGAGGAGCUUAGAGACUAUCACCAGCACCAGAGAGAUGAACGACUCAGGGAGCAGAAAGUGCAGAGAUUGGAGUGCCAGCGUCUCGAGACCAUCUUAAACCUGGUCACUGAGUUUGGCCAUGUGGAGAGAGAGCCGGCGGGCUCAGCUGUUUCUGACCUGCAGAAGAUCAAUAAAGAAUUGGAGAAGCUGCAGGUGUCAGAAGAUGAGUCAGCGUUCUCUGACUCUCCCAGUGGCGCUGAUCCAGAGAGCUGCUUUGGAGCCAAAGCCAGAGACUUCCAACUCACUGAGAAUCAGCAAGUCAGCCAGCGUCAGCAGAGCGGCUACAGAGAGGCCAGGUCCCACUCACCUGCUAUCAGCCUGAACAGCAGUGCUCCCUCACCCUCCACCCAUCACAGAGCCAAAGCCUUUGAGAGUGUGCAGCUGAAACAGGAAGUAACGCACAUAGAGGAAGAGCGGAUUCAAGUUCUGAACAACAUAGAAGAGCUGGAGCAGAAGAUCAAAGACCUGGACAACCAGAUGGAGGAGUCUGUCCGAGAGAUGGAGGUGGAGUGUGCUUUGCUGGAGGGGGAACAGGAGUCAGAGAUGGCCCAGCUGCAGAGAGAAAAGGAGCUUCUGGACAAACUUAAGAAACAAAUGCAUAGUAUUGAGAAGACGAGCCAUAUUGAGAAAUCCCAGGAGGCUGAGGAACAGACAAAAAGUUUGGAGGAUUUGGAGUUUCAGAAGCUGGAGAAAGAAAUGAAUCAGGAUGAGGUUAAAGAAAAUGAGAGUCAAGAGCUUCUGCGAGAGAUUGCCGAUUGUCAGCGUCUUACAGUCACACGCAAGGAAAGACUCAUGACGCUGAAGAAACAGACCUCACAGAUAGCAUUACAGGCUCAGCAAGAAAGAGAGAAUUUCCAGAGGGAGAAAAAUAAUUUCCUCGUCAUGCUUCAGAAGGAAAGAGAGAAACUGGCAUCUUUGGAAGGAAAGUAUGCAGAGCUAUCUGAGGGGCAGACCUUCACCAACAACCCUGCAGCCAUCAAAGAGGCAAGUUACUCUCUGAAGGAAAGGAGAAGAAUCAGCAAAGACAACUCUUCCCACCCAAUUGACAGCCUACCUCAUAAGAGGAGCCAGCAGGUCCUCACCUCUUACGGCAGAUCCCUGGGACGCACACUUUCUCCGAAGCCCCACUUGCCUCUGUCCCAAAGCUCGAGCUGUGGCAGCGUCAUCUCACAAGGCUUCAGCUUCUCCCCCAGGGACAUGAGCACGCGCCGCCUGCCUAAAACAGGCAACAGCCGUGCACACAUGAAUGAAGACAGACAGAGAAGAAGUGAUUUUUGCAGCAGGAUGAUCUCUGAGCCCAGUGUGUUCUUGGACUCCUUCUCCUACCCGGACAACAGCCAGGCCUCAGAUACUGUCAGUGUGGACAGCUCUGACAGCCUGGAGACCAGCUUCUCCGCCUGCUCCCCAGACAAUAUCUCCAGCGCCAGUACGUCCAAUAUGGCGAAGAUCGAGGAGAUGGAGCGUUUACUUCGAGAGGCCCAGGCUGAGAAACAUAAGCUCCUAGAGAAUCGGGAGCGUGAGAUGGAGAUGCGGAGGCAUGCUCUGGAAGAAGAGCGGAGAAGAAGGGAGGAACUGGAGAAACGACUGCAGGAGGAGACAAGCCGAAGACAGAAACUUGUAGAAAGAGAGGUGAAGCUCAGGGAGAAACAAAGAUCACAGUCCCGGUUGUUGACUCGCUACCUCCCUGUAAGGAAAGAUGACUUUGAUCUUCACGGCCAUAUUGAGGCAGCUGGACACAACCCUGACGGCUGCUUCCAUCUGGCCAUCACUGAUAAAACCUGUCGAGGCUUUCUGGUCAAAAUGGGCGGCAAAAUCAAGACCUGGAAGAAACGCUGGUUUGUCUUUGACCAGAAUCGCAGGACGCUCACCUACUAUGCAGACAAACAUGAGACCAAGAUGAAAGGAGUCAUUUACUUCCAAGCCAUAGAAGAAGUGUACUAUGACCAUUUAAAGAGUGCACACAAAAGUCCCAACCCCUCGCUGACGUUCAGUGUGAAGACCCACGAUCGGGUGUACUACAUGGUGGCUCCGUCACCUGAGGCCAUGCGUAUCUGGAUGGAUGUCAUGGUUACGGGUGCAGAAGGACACAUGCAUUUCAUGGUGUAACUGAUCCCAACAGGUCAGGGUUUACACCACUAAAUUCCAUUAGUAAACAGUGUGUCACAUGAGAAGUUAUGCGGCACUUUGCUUGUAUAAUUGAUAAACAGGAGUUAUAAUUAAGCUGUUCUUUGGUUUAAACUGUUCUUUAGUUUUUUCUGUACUGUAGUCCGUGAAAGGUCACUAAAUCUUGCACCAGUUUAGUUGCAUUGUCCAACUUUAUCUUUCCUUAAACAAAAUGUCUGCCAUCUCAUACUUGAGUCAACACUUGAUCAGGGAAGCUUCUCAAUGAUUAGAGAGAUCUGUUACACUUCUAAACUGUGGUACAAACUGAUGCUGCAUGUCUUUAAUAAAUGCAUAUCUGCAUUUCUAUAACCUAGGCUUUGGUAAUUUAUGUAUCCGCGAUGUA